AUUGAACGCUGGCGGCAGGCCUAACACAUGCAAGUCGAGCGGAUGAAGGGAUCUUGCUCCUGGAUUCAGCGGCGCACGGGUGAGUAAUGCCUAGGAAUCUGCCUGGUAGUGGGGGAUAACGUCCGGAAACGGGCGCUAAUACCGCAUACGUCCUGAGGGAGAAAGUGGGGGAUCUUCGGACCUCACGCUAUCAGAUGAUCCUAGGUCGGAUUAGCUAGUUGGUGGGGUAAAGGCCUACCAAGGCGACGAUCCGUAACUGGUCUGAGAGGAUGAUCAGUCACACUGGAACUGAGACACGGUCCAGACUCCUACGGGAGGCAGCAGUGGGGAAUAUUGGACAAUGGGCGAAAGCCUGAUCCAGCCAUGCCGCGUGUGUGAAGAAGGUCUUCGGAUUGUAAAGCACUUUAAGUUGGGAGGAAGGGCAGUAAGUUAAUACCUUGCUGUAUUGACGUUACCAGCAGAAUAAGCACCGGCUAACUUCGUG
RNAcentral lists this ribosomal RNA (484 nucleotides) under uncultured bacterium. RNAcentral describes it as "partial 16S ribosomal RNA". It matches the Rfam family "Bacterial small subunit ribosomal RNA", at positions 30 to 507 of the family's 1533-position model. The record is from RNAcentral.